CGUUACCAGGCUUCCUUCAUCCUCUGCUGCUGCCUUCACGGACCAUCGGGAAUAACGCAACUCGACGCACGCUUGUGGAAACCAACAAUAGAUGGGAACUUUAUGAAGCAGCCAAGCGUAUAAAUUCCUCAAAGCACCAGGGGGUACAAUGGACGGCUGAGAAAUGAACACCACACACCAAUUUACCCCUCAAGAGGCCUACUCACCCUCACAAAUAUGUGGCAUGUCACCUCCAUCGCUGUCAACACAGAUGGUGGUUGAACGCGGCUCAGCAGUGAACACAGUGAUGGAAGUGGGAAUGUGAGGAAUGUGGAGAGAAGAAUUUGAGGAGUGCUUGGAGCUCUGCCCACUUUAAUACCUGUGCACACCUGGCAGCUGUUGGAUUGUCAAGUUUGGAAGGUAAAAAAGUGAUUCAGUCAUCAGGGCAGAGCCGUUUGUCUUCCUCGUUAAAGAGACUGAUACAACAUCACCCUCACUCAGAUAAGCCCACUUGUUUCUCACUCUACACCUCAGGUGAGACAUCUUUAUCAUGCAAUCAGAACAGGGGUCACCAGAUAAGUAACCUUAAGCUUCCUGUGUUUCACUCUGGGUAUAAACGUCACCCUUGUUAAUCUCUGGAUGUUGUUGGUAGAGACACUUCACUGUUAAACUGUAGAAUCUACAUUACAUAAAUAUCAAAUAAAGUUACC
This is a long non-coding RNA of Lates calcarifer (barramundi perch), 689 nucleotides long. RefSeq lists it as uncharacterized. Lineage: Eukaryota; Metazoa; Chordata; Actinopteri; Centropomidae. The transcript has 3 exons. The record is from RefSeq and is a predicted model, not a curated record.